UGGGGAAUUUUGGACAAUGGGCGAAAGCCUGAUCCAGCAAUGCCGCGUGUGUGAAGAAGGCCUUCGGGUUGUAAAGCACUUUUGUCCGGAAAGAAAUCCUUGGCUCUAAUACAGUCGGGGGAUGACGGUACCGGAAGAAUAAGCACCGGCUAACUACGUGCCAGCAGCCGCGGUAAUACGUAGGGUGCAAGCGUUAAUCGGAAUUACUGGGCGUAAAGCGUGCGCAGGCGGUUUGCUAAGACCGAUGUGAAAUCCCCGGGCUCAACCUGGGAACUGCAUUGGUGACUGGCAGGCUAGAGUAUGGCAGAGGGGGGUAGAAUUCCACGUGUAGCAGUGAAAUGCGUAGAGAUGUGGAGGAAUACCGAUGGCGAAGGCAGCCCCCUGGGCCAAUACUGACGCUCAUGCACGAAAGCGUGGGGAGCAAAACAGGAUUAGAUACCCUGGUAGUCCACGCCCUAAAACGAUGUCAACUAGUUGUUGGGGAUUCAUUUCCUAGUAACGUAGCUAACGCGUGAAGUUGACCGCCNGGGGAGUACGUCGCAAGAUUAAAACUUAAAUGAAUUGACGGGGUC
Molecule: ribosomal RNA, 572 nt
Filed under: uncultured bacterium
Lineage: Bacteria
Description: partial 16S ribosomal RNA
Rfam family: Bacterial small subunit ribosomal RNA
Source: RNAcentral